GAGAAACAGCGAAGGUGGUACUGUUUGAAUUUCAGUGCAUGCAAUUCUGGGUGAAAACAGAAUACCGAGUUCACUGAUGGUGGUAUUUUGUUAUCUGUAGAGGACUGAAAUCGGAGAGGAGGAAGGGAGAAUUUAUCAAGGCCAAUGAAGGUGGUUGUUCGUGAAUUUUUCAGAAUGGAAUAGCAGAGAAGAAUUGCUGUUAAUGGUGGAGGAGGGAGAUGCAAUUGAAAAUCAGAGAAAGAAAGAUAAGAAGAAGCUUGAAGUAGAGAAAUCAAAGAAGAUGCUAGCUUCUGCAAUUAUUUGAGUUAAUCCUUUCUUCUCAAUCUACUGUGGAAUGAGGGGUUGAUAAGAAAUCAAGCAGUGUUGCUUCGGAGCCAAACUCAAAGAGUUUUGAGUGUGUGACCAAGGGCUUCAAAUGACCGUUCUGAUGAUGAAGGAGGGACUGACAAGAGGAAUGGUGUUAAGGCAAGGAACAAGUACCAUCCCCCGAUGUUGCUGAAGGGACAUCAAUUUAAAAAUGCUUCUUUGCUGGCAGACUUGGCUGGUGCAAGGGUUAUUACUGUUAGAUGAUCUUGAUUCGACAACCCUUGGAAAUGCAAUUGAAGAGAUGUUAGGGGAUGAGAGUAAAAUGGAAGAUAUGUUCUAGAGGGGCUCUGAGAGCUGCAAACUCCAAUACCUCUGUACAUAUUGCACAACACGUCAUUUCUCUAACCAGCUUAUAAUGAGGAAAGAAGAAGUAGACUUAAAGUUGGUUUAUACGCUAUGUAAGUCAUAGAUCCAACUUCCAUCUUUUUGGAGCCUGAGGACUAUCGCGCGUGGGUAGAGUGAAGGUACCUCCAAGGGGAAGGACACUGCAAUCAGAGACCAAGCUUCAGUGCUUUGACCCUGUAACGAUGAAAUACUUGGGAUAUUAUCCUGUAUUGACACCUGAUGUGGUUGGUUUUUUCUUUUUUUUUGUGUACAUUUGGCUUGGGGUUGUGGAUUGGUGUAGUGAAACAUGUAGCAAGCUGUUAUGGAGUCUUUGCUAACUUCUAAAUGGAUGGGUUCAUUUGAUAAUGAUGUUAAGGUGAUGAAAUUGAUUUUGUUCUCAUUUUGUGCCUGAUUUGAUAUACACUCUAGAGUUUAGAUGGUAGAAGAGAUGGAACUCAGAAUAUCCCAACUAUUGUUAAAUUCAUGGUGCUAAUCUUCAUUUCAGGUCAAGGAGGGGGUAGCACGAGCAAGUAAGGCACAGAAAACAUGGCUUGGGGUUGUGGAUUGGUGUAGUGAACAUGUAGUAAGCUGUUAUGGAGUCUUUGCUAACUUCUAAAUGGAUGGGUUCAUUUGAUAAUGAUGUUAAGGUCAAGGAGGGGGUAGCACGAGCAAGUAAGGCACAGAAAACAUGGGCAAAGAGUAACUUCAAGCAAAGAAACCUGUUUCUUCGGAUUAUUCUCAAGUAUAUAAUAGAACACCAAGGGGCUACCAAGUAAGGCACAGAAAACAUGGGCAAAGAGUAGCUUCAAGCAACGAAACCUGUUUCUUCGGAUUAUUCUCAAGUAUAUAAUAGAACACCAAGACCUUAUAUGUGAGAGUUAAGUUAGAAAGAAAUCAAUUAAUAAUUGUUAUA
Long non-coding RNA from Rosa rugosa (rugosa rose), 1603 nucleotides. RefSeq lists it as uncharacterized. The transcript has 8 exons. NCBI's taxonomy places the organism in Eukaryota, Viridiplantae, Streptophyta, Magnoliopsida, Rosales, Rosaceae. The record is from RefSeq and is a predicted model, not a curated record.